CCGAGAACAAAAGCAAAGAGCCACAGAAAUUUGUAUAUUUACAGCUCCAGCAAGACAGAACGGGCGAUGGAGGCGGUCGUGUUGCUGCAUUGGUUCCUGGCCGAGGCCCGAGUGGUCCUGCCCAUUUCAUACCUCUUACAGCCAAGCUAAACUCCAUUUCAGUUUUGGGGUCUGGCUCCAGGCCAUCACGCACUACUGUGCCACCUCCUCGUAAUCCUACUGGUGCUGUCGUAA
Non-coding RNA from Penaeus vannamei (Pacific white shrimp), 234 nucleotides. The record is from RefSeq and is a predicted model, not a curated record. NCBI's taxonomy places the organism in Eukaryota, Metazoa, Arthropoda, Malacostraca, Decapoda, Penaeidae.